Molecule: ribosomal RNA, 960 nt
Filed under: uncultured bacterium
Lineage: Bacteria
Description: bacterial SSU rRNA
Rfam family: Bacterial small subunit ribosomal RNA
Source: RNAcentral
UAAGACGUAGGGGGCCAGCGUUGUUCGGAAUUACUGGGUGUAAAGGGUUCGUAGGCGGUGUGGCAAGUUGGGAGUGAAAUCUCUGGGCUCAACCCAGAGGCUGCUUCCAAAACUGCUGUGCUUGAGUGUGAGAGAGGCCCGUGGAAUUGCAGGUGUAGCGGUGAAAUGCGUAGAUAUCUGCAGGAACACCCGUGGCGAAAGCGGCGAGCUGGAUCACAACUGACGCUGAGGAACGAAAGCUAGGGGAGCAAACAGGAUUAGAUACCCUGGUAGUCCUAGCCCUAAACGAUCAGGACUUGGGGUGCCGCCCGUUCGGGCGUCGUCCCGGAGCUAACGCGUUAAGUCCUGCACCUGGGGAGUACGGUCGCAAGACUGAAACUCAAAGGAAUUGACGGGGGCCCGCACAAGCGGUGGAACAUGUGGUUCAAUUCGACGCUACGCGAGGAACCUUACCUGGGCUCGAAAUGCUUAGGACCAGCUGUAGAAAUACGGCCUUCCCGCAAGGGACCUGAGUAUAGGCGCUGCAUGGCUGUCGUCAGCUCGUGCCGUGAGGUGUUGGGUUAAGUCCCGCAACGAGCGCAACCCCUGCACGCAGUUACUACUCGCAAGAGAGGACUCUGCGUGGACUGCUCCGGAUAACGGAGAGGAAGGUGGGGAUGACGUCAAGUCCGCAUGGCCUUUAUGUCCAGGGCUACACACGUGUUACAAUGCAGGGUACAAACCGUUGCCAACCCGCGAGGGGGAGCUAAUCGGAAAAAACUCUGCUCAGUUCGGAUUGCAGUCUGCAACUCGACUGCAUGAAGCCGGAAUCGCUAGUAAUGGCGUAUCAGAUCGACGCCGUGAAUACGUUCCCGGGCCUUGUACACACCGCCCGUCACAUCACGAAAGUGAGUUGUACUAGAAGUCGCCGCGCUAACCGCAAGGAGGCAGGCGCCCAAGGUAUGACCCAUGAUUGGGGUG